GACAAAACGCCAACAACUUAAAGUAAGAGAGGUCUGUUUCAGCUCAUGGAUUAGUCUACAACCAGCUGGCUCCAAGGCAGAAACAGCAUGGUGGAAAGGCAUGGCAGAGGAAAACUUUUGACUGCAUGGUGCCCAGAAGGAAGCUGGGAUCCCAUGGUGGAGGGCCUGCAUCUAGCAAGGGUCUUCUUGCUACAUCCUCCCACCAUGGAAGUUGGAAGGGAAAGAAGAUAUGUGUGAGACAGAGAGAAGGUCAGCCAGUUCUGAAGGAUGAACAGCAUGGCAGAUGAGCAUGGUGGAGGAGAGCUGCUUGUGUCAUGGCAGAGUGGAAGCACAACACAUCAAGGGAGAAGCCAGGAAGAAAAAUAUAUCUUCAGGGUCAUUUCCUAUCAGACCUCAAAUCCUAACACCAAGAAAGCUAUAGGAUCCCAUAAUCCAACCACCUCCCAAAUGCCCCAUCUAUGAGCUUACUGGGGUUA
Molecule: long non-coding RNA, 476 nt
Organism: Heterocephalus glaber (naked mole-rat)
Lineage: Eukaryota; Metazoa; Chordata; Mammalia; Rodentia; Bathyergidae
Source: RefSeq, a predicted model, not a curated record